GGGGAUGUUUAUGGUAUUCGAUGAGUAAAUGUCUGGAUAGGACCACAGCCACGAAGGACACGUGUAAAAACCACUUAAAAUUAAUUGCUAAAACUAAACUUGCUAAUGUUUUUGGUGUAAACCAGAGCAUGGCUUUCGCUGCCUAAUUUAAUUGCCUACGUUUGGCUUGCAGCCCCAAUAGUCUAGGUUCGCUUUCUUAUUAGCUAUUGCAGGACACAUAAAGAAGAUAAGAUGAAGUAGCGGUCCGAUACUUCAUACGAAAAUUUUAGGAUCACAUCUUAAGAUCUUUGUUCUUAUCCAAAGCUUAGGAUUAUUUUGAUAAGAAAAGCUGUAAACGUUGUAUCGUGGGACUUUGCUUAGACAGGAGUUCGACUCUCCUCAUCUCCACCA
This 390-nucleotide transfer-messenger RNA is filed under the name Faecalicoccus pleomorphus. RNAcentral's name for it is "Standard tmRNA". It matches the Rfam family "transfer-messenger RNA". From Rfam's summary of the family: Bacterial tmRNA, also known as 10Sa RNA or SsrA, is named for its dual tRNA and mRNA-like properties. Its role is to liberate the mRNA from a stalled ribosome. Lineage: Bacteria; Bacillati; Bacillota; Erysipelotrichia; Erysipelotrichales; Erysipelotrichaceae. The record is from Rfam by way of RNAcentral.